RNAcentral lists this ribosomal RNA (497 nucleotides) under uncultured bacterium. RNAcentral's name for it is "partial 16S ribosomal RNA". It matches the Rfam family "Bacterial small subunit ribosomal RNA", at positions 28 to 507 of the family's 1533-position model. The record is from RNAcentral.
GAUGAACGCUGGCGGCGUGCCUAAUACAUGCAAGUCGAGCGAACAGACGAGGAGCUUGCUCCUCUGACGUUAGCGGCGGACGGGUGAGUAACACGUGGAUAACCUACCUAUAAGACUGGGAUAACUUCGGGAAACCGGAGCUAAUACCGGAUAAUAUAUUGAACCGCAUGGUUCAAUAGUGAAAGACGGUUUUGCUGUCACUUAGAGAUGGAUCCGCGCCGCAUUAGCUAGUUGGUAAGGUAACGGCUUACCAAGGCAACGAUGCGUAGCCGACCUGAGAGGGUGGUCGGCCACACUGGAACUGAGACACGGUCCAGACUCCUACGGGAGGCAGCAGUAGGGAAUCUUCCGCCAUGGGCGAAAGCCUGACGGAGCAACGCCGCGUGAGUGAUGAAGGUCUUCGGAUCGUAAAACUCUGUUAUUAGGGAAGAACAAAUGUGUAAGUAACUAUGCACGUCUUGACGGUACCUAAUCAGAAAGCCACGGCUAACUACGUG